This 253-nucleotide ribosomal RNA is filed under the name uncultured bacterium. Its description in RNAcentral is "partial 16S ribosomal RNA". It matches the Rfam family "Bacterial small subunit ribosomal RNA", at positions 524 to 776 of the family's 1533-position model. The record is from RNAcentral.
UACGGGGGGGGCAAGCGUUGUUCGGAAUUACUGGGCGUAAAGGGCGCGUAGGCGGCUUUUCAAGUCGGGCGUGAAAUCUCCGGGCUUAACCCGGAAGGGUCGUUCGAUACUGUUGAGCUAGAGUGUGGAAGAGGCAACUAGAAUUCCGUGUGUAGCGGUGAAAUGCGUAGAUAUACGGAGGAAUACCUGAGGCGAAGGCGGGUUGCUGGACCGGUAUUGACGCUGAGGAGCGAAAGCCAGGGGAGCAAACGGG